UAGGGAAUCUUCCGCAAUGGACGCAAGUCUGACGGAGCAACGCCGCGUGAGUGAAGAAGGAUUUCGGUUCGUAAAACUCUGUUGUUAGAGAAGAACAGCGCAUAGAGUAACUGUUAUGCGUGUGACGGUAUCUAACCAGAAAGCCACGGCUAACUACGUGCCAGCAGCCGCGGUAAUACGUAGGUGGCAAGCGUUGUCCGGAUUUAUUGGGCGUAAAGCGAGCGCAGGUGGUCAAUUAAGUCUGAUGUGAAAGCCCCCGGCUCAACCGGGGAGGGUCAUUGGAAACUGGUUGACUUGAGUGCAGAAGAGGAGAGUGGAAUUCCAUGUGUAGCGGUGAAAUGCGUAGAUAUAUGGAGGAACACCAGUGGCGAAGGCGACUCUCUGGUCUGUAACUGACGCUGAGGCUCGAAAGCGUGGGUAGCAAACAGG
This 429-nucleotide ribosomal RNA is filed under the name Bacteroidota bacterium. RNAcentral's name for it is "Bacteroidetes bacterium partial 16S ribosomal RNA". It matches the Rfam family "Bacterial small subunit ribosomal RNA", at positions 355 to 776 of the family's 1533-position model. Lineage: Bacteria; Pseudomonadati; Bacteroidota. The record is from RNAcentral.